This 466-nucleotide ribosomal RNA is filed under the name uncultured bacterium. RNAcentral describes it as "bacterial SSU rRNA". It matches the Rfam family "Bacterial small subunit ribosomal RNA", at positions 329 to 792 of the family's 1533-position model. The record is from RNAcentral.
CUCCAGACUCCUACGGGAGGCAGCAGUGAGGAAUAUUGGUCAAUGGCCGCAGGGCUGAACCAGCCAAGUCGCGUGAGGGAUGACGGUCCUAUGGAUUGUAAACCUCUUUUGUCAGGGAGCAAAGGGCGCCACGUGUGGCGUUUUGCGAGUACCUGAAGAAAAAGCAUCGGCUAACUCCGUGCCAGCAGCCGCGGUAAUACGUAGGGGGCAAGCGUUAUCCGGAUUUACUGGGUGUAAAGGGAGCGCAGACGGCAGCGCAAGUCUGGAGUGAAAGCCCGGGGCCCAACCCCGGAACUGCUCUGGAAACUGUGCGGCUAGAGUACUGGAGGGGCAGGCGGAAUUCCUAGUGUAGCGGUGAAAUGCGUAGAUAUUAGGAGGAACACCAGUGGCGAAGGCGGCCUGCUGGACAGUAACUGACGUUGAUGCUCGAAAGCGUGGGGAGCAAACAGGAUUAGAUACCCUAGUA